UGCGUAGGUGGUCGGGUAAGUCUGAUGUGAAAUCUCCGAGCUCAACUCGGAAAUGGCAUUGGAUACUAUCCGGCUAGAGGGUCGGAGGGGGGACUGGAAUUCUCGGUGUAGCAGUGAAAUGCGUAGAUAUCGAGAGGAACACCAGUGGCGAAGGCGAGUCCCUGGACGACUCCUGACACUGAGGCAAGCUAGGGGAGCAAACA
This 203-nucleotide ribosomal RNA is filed under the name uncultured bacterium. RNAcentral's name for it is "partial 16S ribosomal RNA". It matches the Rfam family "Bacterial small subunit ribosomal RNA", at positions 568 to 774 of the family's 1533-position model. The record is from RNAcentral.